AACGCUAGCUACAGGCUUAACACAUGCAAGUCGAGGGGAAACGACAUCGAAAGCUUGCUUUUGAUGGACGUCGACCGGCGCACGGGUGAGUAACGCGUAUCCAACCUGCCCAUUACCGGGGUAUAGCCCGUCGAAAGGCGGAUUAAUCCCCCAUGCAGUCAGAAUAUGGCAUCAUGAUUUGACGAAAGGUUUAGCGGUAAUGGAUGGGGAUGCGUCCGAUUAGAUAGUUGGCGGGGUAAAGGCCCACCAAGUCGACGAUCAGUAGGGGUUCUGAGAGGAAGGUCCCCCACAUUGGAACUGAGACACGGUCCAAACUCCUACGGGAGGCAGCAGUGAGGAAUAUUGGUCAAUGGGCGAGAGCCUGAACCAGCCAAGUAGCGUGCAGGAUGACGGCCUUAUGGGUUGUAAACUGCUUUUAUAAGGGAAUAAAGUGGGUCUCGUGAGACUUUUUGCAUGUACCUUAUGAAUAAGGACCGGCUAAUUCCGUGCCAGCAGCCGCGGUAAUACGGAAGGUCCGGGCGUUAUCCGGAUUUAUUGGGUUUAAAGGGAGCGUAGGCCGGAGAUUAAGCGUGUUGUGAAAUGUAGUGGCUCAACCUCUGCACUGCAGCGCGAACUGGUCUUCUUGAGUACGCACAACGUGGGCGGAAUUCGUGGUGUAGCGGUGAAAUGCUUAGAUAUCACGAAGAACUCCGAUUG
RNAcentral lists this ribosomal RNA (696 nucleotides) under uncultured bacterium. RNAcentral describes it as "bacterial SSU rRNA". It matches the Rfam family "Bacterial small subunit ribosomal RNA", at positions 32 to 715 of the family's 1533-position model. The record is from RNAcentral.